This 440-nucleotide ribosomal RNA is filed under the name uncultured bacterium. RNAcentral's name for it is "partial 16S ribosomal RNA". It matches the Rfam family "Bacterial small subunit ribosomal RNA", at positions 338 to 795 of the family's 1533-position model. The record is from RNAcentral.
UCUACGGGAGUCAGCAGUGGGGGAUAUUGCACAAUGGGGGAAACCCUGAUGCAGCGACGCCGCGUGUAGGAAGACGGUCCUCUGGAUUGUAAACUACUGUCCCCAGGGACGAAGAUGACGGUACCUGGGGAGGAAGCUCCGGCUAACUACGUGCCAGCAGCCGCGGUAAUACGUAGGGAGCGAGCGUUGUCCGGAAUUACUGGGUGAAAAGGGAGCGUAGGCGGGGAUGCAAGUUGGGUGUUAAAUCUACCGGUUCAACUGGUAGUCGCACUCAAAACUGCAGCUCUUGAGUGAAGUAGAGGCAGGCGGAAUUCCUAGUGUAGCGGUGAAAUGCGUAGAUAUUAGGAGGAACACCAGUGGCGAAGGCGGCCUGCUGGGCUUUGACUGACGCUGAGGCUCGAAAGUGUGGGGAGCAAACAGGAUUAGAUACCCGGGUAGUC